GAAAAAGGGCAAAGGCCAAAGAUUUUGACAAUAUAAAGUUGAGCUAAGGAUUAGAGGCAGCAUCAUGUCUUCUAGAGAUCGAAAGAAAGCAGCUGUUUAUCAGAAAUUGCAGCAGCUUCGCUCUGUUGCCAACUCCAGUGCUGUGAACAAGACCUCAAUCAUUGUAGAUGCAUCAAGAUAUAUAGAGGAGUUGAAAGAAAAGGUGGACAAACUGAACCAAGAAAUUGAAACUUCACAAAUUUCAACUUCCCAGAAUCCUCUGCCUAUGCAGGUUACUGUGGAAACCCUAGAGAAAGGUUUCCUUAUUAAUGUGUUUUUGGAAAAAAACUGCCCCGGUUUGCUUGUUUCCAUAUUGGAAACCUUCGAAGAGCUUGGCCUCGACGUGCUGGAUGCUAGGGUUUCUUGCGAAGACAAUUUCCAACUAGAAGCGAUUGGAGGAGAAAAUCAAGGUAACGCUGAAGGCAUCGAUUCUCAGAUGGUUAAGCAAGCAGUGCUGCAAGCGAUCGGUAAAUGGAGUAAAACUGGCGAGCAGGAUUAGGACUUCUCUCUGUUUUCUUUUGGAUUGGAUCUCUUCAUCGAUUCCUUUGAUGGGUUGCAGUUGCAUUCAAUAAUAUACAUAGAAAUUGCACUCAAGUUGAACAGGCUUAAAACUCAUCUUAAACACGGGAACAAAGUAUUCUUUGGCAAUGUGGAGAGCACUAUUAAUGUUAUGAAGAACAAGGUUGAGGAGUUUGAUAUUAUCUGCAGCUUGAGGGACCUCGCAAUGAUGAGUGUAAUGCUGAAAGAAUUACCAUUCAGCAACUAUGGUCUGCCUCACGUCAACGAGAAUCUAUUUGGCGCUAGAAAUCUCGUAUCUAGUGGCUUUAAGGAAGGGGGUAGAAACACUCGCUUUUUCUAGUGCAAGGCUAAAGUUCCAUCUUGCCGAAACUUUAUAGCGGGAAACUUAAUUAACGGCGUUUGGGUCUCUCAACCUGAUGAGGUACGUCGUGUUACUUUUAAAUUCUUUAAGAACUUUUUUAAUUGCAACCAUUGGCCCUGCCUAGUAUUUGAUUGCUUUCCGUUAAAAAGGUUAGCACUUAUGAUGCUAGUAAUCUUAGGGCAUCGAUAACUAUGGAGGAACUCAAGUAUACCAUAAGGGGUUGUGUCGAGGCAAAAGGCCCUGGACCCGACGAGUAUAAUCUCAACUUUUUCAAGGAUAGUUGGGCUUUCAUAAAAAAUGAUCAUAUGCCUUCAUUUCUGACUUUAUGUCUACCGGUAAGCUGCACAAAUGACUUGACUCUUCAUUUAUUACAUUGAUUCCUAAAGUGCAAUGUCUUACCUCUUUUAAGAGAGUACUGUCCCAUCAGUCUUGUCAAUUCCCUAUACAAGAUCAUAGCCAAGAUCCUUGCUAAUAAGCUUAAGGCGGUCAUAUUUACAGUGAUCAAUGACUGUCACAGUGCUUUUGUUAAAGAUUGUCAAAUCAUGGAUGGUAUUAUGGUGAUCAAUGAAAUCAUUCAUAGUAUGACACACAAGCUUCAAGAUGAUGAGCGUAUCAUUCUCAAAUUGGACUUUGGAAAAGUUUUUAAUUGUGUUGAUUGGGGUUACCUAUUUUGUGUUAAGCAAUCAAUGGGCUUUAGGUAUAAAUGGUGUAGUUGGAUUUGUAAGUGUAUUUCUAAAGUGCAAGUCUCAGUUUUGAUUAACGGUUCUAUUAUUUUGAAUUCCUAAUGAAGCGUGAGCUUCGCUAGGGUGACCCAUUAUCACCUUUCCUUUUAUUAUGGUAGUGGAAACUUUACACCUCACUCUUGUCAAGGCGAAAUCCCUUAUACGCUUUAGAGGUAUUACUCUUUCUCCAUAUGGUUUCUCUAUCUUUCAACUCUAGUUUGCAGACAACACAGUCAUUUUAAUGUGUCCGGAAGUCUAAGGUGCCCUUAAUCUAUGAUGUAUCUUGUGUUUCUUUGAGCUAGCUUCAAGCCUUCGCAUCAACUUUCAACAGACAUGCAUCUUUCUAGUGGGCACUCUAGACUCUAAAAGCAAUGAGAUUU
Molecule: RNA transcript, 2021 nt
Organism: Theobroma umbraticum
Lineage: Eukaryota; Viridiplantae; Streptophyta; Magnoliopsida; Malvales; Malvaceae
Gene name: transcription factor bHLH61-like
Source: RefSeq, a predicted model, not a curated record